This 1066-nucleotide long non-coding RNA is filed under the name Mytilus galloprovincialis (Mediterranean mussel). Lineage: Eukaryota; Metazoa; Mollusca; Bivalvia; Mytilida; Mytilidae. The record is from RNAcentral.
AAAUGAAAAUAAGAAAAACAAGAAUGUGUCCACAGUACACGGAUGCCCCACUCACACUAUCAUUUUCUAUGUUUAAAGGACUGUGAAAUUGGAAUAAAUUCUCUAAUUUGGCAUUAAAAUUAGAAUGAUCUUAUCAAAGGGAACAUGUAUACUAAGUUUCAAGUUGAUUGGACUUCUACUUUAUCAAAAACUACCUUGACCAAAAACUUUAACCUGAAAUUUGCACUAUCAUUUUCUAUGUUCAGUGAACCGUAAAAUUGGGGUCAAAACUCUAAUUUGGCAUUUAAAUUAGAAAGAUCAUAUCAUAGGGCACAUGUAUACUAAGUUUCAAGUUGAUUGGACUUAAACUUCAUCAAAAACUACCUUGACCAAAAACUUUAACCUGAAGCCAAAAACUUUAACCUGAAAUUUGCACUAUCAUUUUCUAUGUUCAGUGAACCGUAAAAUUGGGGUCAAAACUCUAAUUUGGCAUUUAAAUUAGAAAGAUCAUAUCAUAGGGCACAUGUAUACUAAGUUUCAAGUUGAUUGGACUUCAACUUCAUCAAAAACUACCUUGACCAAAAACUUUAACCUGAAGCCAAAAACUUUAACCUGAAAAUUUGCACUAUCAUUUUCUAUGUUCAGUGAACCGUAAAAUUGGGGUCAAAACUCUAAUUUGGCAUUUAAAUUAGAAAGAUCAUAUCAUAGGGCACAUGUAUACUAAGUUUCAAGUUGAUUGGACUUCAACUUCAUCAAAAACUACCUUGACCAAAAACUUUAACCUGAAGCCAAAAACUUUAACCUGAAAUUUGCACUAUCAUUUUCUAUCAGUGAACCGUAAAAUUGGGGUAAAAUCUCUAAUUUGGCAUUAAAAUUAGAAAGAUCAUAUCAUAGGGAACAUGUGUACCAAGUUUGAAGUCGAUUGGACUUCAACUUCAUCAAAAACUACCUCGACCAAAAACUUUAACCUGAAGCGGGACAGACGGACGAACGGACGAACGAACGGACGAACGAACGGACGAACGGACGCACAGACCAGAAAACAUAAUGCCCCUCUACUAUCGUAGGUGGGGCAUAAAAAUUCCUA